RNAcentral lists this long non-coding RNA (1432 nucleotides) under Phoenix dactylifera (date palm). RNAcentral's name for it is "long non-coding RNA (PDAC_LNC001443)". The record is from RNAcentral. Lineage: Eukaryota; Viridiplantae; Streptophyta; Magnoliopsida; Arecales; Arecaceae.
CAUGUUCAGUUGGGGUCGACUCAAGGUUGGGUCGACUCAAGUUCCAUUUGGGUCGACCCUCUCAGGGAUUCCAGAGACUUGUUUUCUUGAGGCUUGAAGAUGGGGUCGACUCAACUUUCACUUGGGUCGACCCAAGUACUGUUCAUCCGUGCCAUUUUUGCAGAAGUGUGCCAGAUGUUUCCUUGAUGUGCCGGGGUCGACUCCACCAAUCUUGGGGUCGACUCAAUCCACACUUUGCUGCAACUUAAGGUUAGAUUCAUCCAUAUAGUCAAUGAAAUAAACUUCAAACAAUUUUGAAUAUAUGUCAUGGUGGAGCUACAUACUCUAAAUAAUGAAAAUUACUAUUGUCUACUUAAGAGUACGUUUCACUUGAAACUUUGCCGAAUUGGAAUUUUGAAUUCACUAUCCCUUUUCUAUCGCAAAUUUUAUCUCAUUUUUAAUCAUUAAAAUACAUCUUGAUCUCAUUCUACUAAUGUACCGAGAGUGACAAACUUAGUAAUGAUGUAUCAUAUUACCUUGUAAUAUUUAAUUAGGUAUACCCUCAAGGGUUGUGUUAAUCAUCAAAAUAACACUAUCAUCCUCAAUCUCCCCCUUUUUGAUGAUUACAAAAUAUUGAGUAUGAGCAAAUUGAUUCUUAUCUUAAAAUUAGUUUUAGAAGGGCUCAAGUUGCUGAAUUUCAGCUUUUCACAUUUGAGAGUGAAGUCUCCCCCUAUUUCAUCCAAAUAUUGCCAAUUUGAACUUUUGAUUUACUCCCCCUUUCUUUCAUAUUUGGUUAAAGAUGAAACGUCAAAAAUUUGAGAUAAAGCAAGAGUUUCAGAUUAUGUAUCGAGGUGUGAGAGGUAUGUGCCAAAUUCUGAAAUUUGAUUAAAAGUUUAGAUUUUAAUACAUAUCGCUCCCCCUUAAGUGUAUAUUGUCCUUGUUUGUCAACUUAUUACAACUUAAUUUUCUUUCCUUGCUUCUCCCCCUUUUUGUUAUCAUCAAAUAGGUGCAUGGCAAUAGAUAAGUAGACACAGUAAAUAAUAAACAUUCAGAUUUUACUGAUCAAACAUGGAACAUUGUAGUACAUUAACACAAAAAUACAAUGUUCUUCAAUCAAAGUGCAAAGUACAUGAUCAACACAAAAUACAUAUGAGAACUAGAUAAAUCCUAGGCACUAAUACCAAAAGUGCUAACAUCAGCCUAGGGGGUAUCUAAUGGCUGUGAUCUAGUCCUCAUCCUCCUAGCAUAAAUGGCGAGGGGAGGUCGAGUCUGAUGGGACUGAGUCUGGCGUGGACCUCGCUGAGCUGGAUGACUCUGUGCCGAAACCUCUGACUCAGCUGCUCGGGGCACAGAUGGACCAUGAGCCUCUCUCUCUCUCUCCGUAAUGCUCCAACCUCCUCUCUGAGAUCGCUAAUCUCAGCAGUCAUGAUAUCCAACCUGCUCAUCAAUCCAU